UACGUAGGGCGCAAGCGUUUAUCCGGAAUUAUUGGGCGUAAAGAGCUCGUAGGCGGUUUGUCGCGUCUGCCGUGAAAGUCCGGGGCUCAACUCCGGAUCUGCGGUGGGUACGGGCAGACUAGAGUGAUGUAGGGAAGACUGGAAUUCCUGGUGUAGCGGUGAAAUGCGCAGAUAUCAGGAGGAACACCGAUGGCGAAGGCAGGUCUCUGGGCAUUAACUGACGCUGAGGAGCGAAAGCAUGGGGGAGCGAACAGG
Molecule: ribosomal RNA, 255 nt
Filed under: uncultured bacterium
Lineage: Bacteria
Description: partial 16S ribosomal RNA
Rfam family: Bacterial small subunit ribosomal RNA
Source: RNAcentral